Molecule: non-coding RNA, 107 nt
Organism: Gossypium hirsutum (cotton)
Lineage: Eukaryota; Viridiplantae; Streptophyta; Magnoliopsida; Malvales; Malvaceae
Source: Rfam
AACCCAUGAUGAGGAAACCUUCUCAAAAGAUCCUUGUAUCUCUCCCAUGCAUCAUAUAAAGUCUCUAAAUCAAUUUGAACAAGCGAAGAGAUGUCAUUCCUCAACAU